CCCUUAGAUGUUCUGGGCCGUACGCGUGCUACACUGAGUGGAUCAGCGGGUCAGGUUGCGCGAAAGUGUUUCCUAAUCUUGAAAUCCGCUCGUGAUGGGGAUUGACGGUUGCAAUUUUCCGUCAUGAACGAGGAAUACCUUGUAAGCGCGGGUCAUCAUCCCGCGCUGAAUACGUCCCUGCCCUUUGUACACACCGCCCGUCGCUCCUACCGAUUGAGUGGUCCGGUGAGGCUUUGGGAUCUGAGCGGAAAGAGCGUUUCGCUGUUUCUGCUCGGAAAACUCAGUCGAACCUUAUCAUUUAGAGGAAGGAGAAGUCGUAACA
Molecule: ribosomal RNA, 322 nt
Filed under: uncultured eukaryote
Lineage: Eukaryota
Description: partial 18S ribosomal RNA
Rfam family: Eukaryotic small subunit ribosomal RNA
Source: RNAcentral